AGCUUGCUGCUUCGCUGACGAGUGGCGGACGGGUGAGUAAUGUCUGGGGAUCUGCCUGAUGGAGGGGGAUAACUACUGGAAACGGUAGCUAAUACCGCAUAACGUCGCAAGACCAAAGAGGGGGACCUUCGGGCCUCUUGCCAUCAGAUGAACCCAGAUGGGAUUAGCUAGUAGGUGGGGUAACGGCUCACCUAGGCGACGAUCCCUAGCUGGUCUGAGAGGAUGACCAGCCACACUGGAACUGAGACACGGUCCAGACUCCUACGGGAGGCAGCAGUGGGGAAUAUUGCACAAUGGGCGCAAGCCUGAUGCAGCCAUGCCGCGUGUAUGAAGAAGGCCUUCGGGUUGUAAAGUACUUUCAGCGAGGAGGAAGGUGGUGAGUUUAAUACGCUCAUCAAUUGACGUUACUCGCAGAAGAAGCACCGGCUAACUCCGUGCCAGCAGCCGCGGUAAUACGGAGGGUGCAAGCGUUAAUCGGAAUUACUGGGCGUAAAGCGCACGCAGGCGGUCUGUCAAGUCGGAUGUGAAAUCCCCGGGCUCAACCUGGGAACUGCAUCCGAAACUGGCAGGCUUGAGUCUCGUAGAGGGGGGUAGAAUUCCAGGUGUAGCGGUGAAAUGCGUAGAGAUCUGGAGGAAUACCGGUGGCGAAGGCGGCCCCCUGGACGAAGACUGACGCUCAGGUGCGAAAGCGUGGGGAGCAAACAGGAUUAGAUACCCUGGUAGUCCACGCCGUAAACGAUGUCGACUNGGAGGUUGUUCCCUUGAGGAGUGGCUUCCGGAGCUAACGCGUUAAGUCGACCGCCUGGGGAGUACGGCCGCAAGGUUAAAACUCAAAUGAAUUGACGGGGGCCCGCACAAGCGGUGGAGCAUGUGGUUUAAUUCGAUGCAACGCGAAGAACCUUACCUGGCCUUGACAUCCAGAGAAUUUGGCAGAGAUGCUUUAGUGCCUUCGGGAACUGUGAGACAGGUGCUGCAUGGCUGUCGUCAGCUCGUGUUGUGAAAUGUUGGGUUAAGUCCCGCAACGAGCGCAACCCUUAUCCUUUGUUGCCAGCGAUUCGGUCGGGAACUCAAAGGAGACUGCCGGUGAUAAACCGGAGGAAGGUGGGGAUGACGUCCAGUUCUUCAUGGCCCUUACGGCCAGGGCUACACACGUGCUACAAUGGCGUAUACAAAGAGAAGCGACCUCGCGAGAGCAAGCGGACCUCAUAAAGUACGUCGUAGUCCGGAUUGGAGUCUGCAACUCGACUCCAUGAAGUCGGAAUCGCUAGUAAUCGUGGAUCAGAAUGCCACGGUGAAUACGUUCCCGGGCCUUGUACACACCGCCCGUCACACCAUGGGAGU
This 1341-nucleotide ribosomal RNA is filed under the name Enterobacter sp. UIWRF1321. RNAcentral's name for it is "bacterial SSU rRNA". It matches the Rfam family "Bacterial small subunit ribosomal RNA", at positions 77 to 1411 of the family's 1533-position model. The record is from RNAcentral. Lineage: Bacteria; Pseudomonadati; Pseudomonadota; Gammaproteobacteria; Enterobacterales; Enterobacteriaceae.